This 253-nucleotide ribosomal RNA is filed under the name uncultured bacterium. RNAcentral's name for it is "partial 16S ribosomal RNA". It matches the Rfam family "Bacterial small subunit ribosomal RNA", at positions 524 to 776 of the family's 1533-position model. The record is from RNAcentral.
UACGUAGGGCGCAAGCGUUAUCCGGAAUUAUUGGGCGUAAAGCGCUCGUAGGCGGUUUGUCGCGUCUGCCGUGAAAAUCCGGGGCUCAACUCCGGACUUGCAGUGGGUACGGGCAGACUAGAGUGUGGUAGGGGAGACUGGAAUUCCUGGUGUAGCGGUGAAAUGCGCAGAUAUCAGGAGGAACACCGAUGGCGAAGGCAGGUCUCUGGGCCACUACUGACGCUGAGAAGCGAAAGCAUGGGGAGCGAACAGG